Molecule: ribosomal RNA, 320 nt
Filed under: uncultured eukaryote
Lineage: Eukaryota
Description: partial 18S ribosomal RNA
Rfam family: Eukaryotic small subunit ribosomal RNA
Source: RNAcentral
CCCCUAGAUGUUCUGGGCCGCACGCGCGCUACACUGAACAGUUCAACAAGUCUUAACCUUGGCCGAUAGGUCUGGGUAAUCUUUGAACGCUGUUCGUGAUUGGGAUAGACCUUUGCAAUUAUGGGUCUUCAACGAGGAAUUCCUAGUAAACGCAAGACAUCAGCUUGCAUUGAUUACGUCCCUGCCCUUUGUACACACCGCCCGUCGCACCUACCGAUUGAAUGGUCCGGUGAAAUCUCGGGACGGCGGCUUGGUCGCUUGCGUCCGACUGCUGAAACUUGAUUAAACCAUAUCAUUUAGAGGAAGGUGAAGUCGUAACA